Molecule: ribosomal RNA, 433 nt
Filed under: uncultured bacterium
Lineage: Bacteria
Description: partial 16S ribosomal RNA
Rfam family: Bacterial small subunit ribosomal RNA
Source: RNAcentral
AACGAACGCUGGCGGCAUGCCUAACACAUGCAAGUCGAACGAGACCUUCGGGUCUAGUGGCGCACGGGUGCGUAACGCGUGGUAACCUGCCCUUAGGUUCGGAAUAACUCCCCGAAAGGGGUGCUAAUACCGGAUAAUGUCUUCGGACCAAAGAUUUAUCGCCUUUGGAUGGGCCCGCGUUGGAUUAGCUAGUUGGUAGGGUAAAAGCCUACCAAUGCGACGAUCCAUAGCUGGUCUGAGAGGAUGAUCAGCCACACUGGGACUGAGACACGGCCCAGACUCCUACGGGAGGCAGCAGUGGGGAAUAUUGGACAAUGGGCGAAAGCCUGAUCCAGCAAUGCCGCGUGAGUGAUGAAGGCCUUAGGGUUGUAAAGCUCUUUUACCCGGGAUGAUAAUGACAGUACCGGGAGAAUAAGCUCCGGCUAACUCCGUG